CACCUCUUUCAUCUCCAUAGUUGACUUCACAGGCGGUAACAGGACUAUAAACCGCUAAAAGUGUAAAUCUUGAGUUUGAUCGAGCAUCAUGCUUGAUGUUCUGAAGCCUCACAAACUAGAUAUUGGAUACGUAACACGUUUUUCUUUCUCUUGUACUUGCUAUCGGUGACACUAGGGGUGAUGUGAUGUUUUGGAAUACCCAGCAAAUAGACAUGUACAUGAUGUCUACAGACCCAGAAGAUGCUCCAAAUCAAGCAGAGUUCAGCUAUUGUAGUGGGAAGGAAGAGCGCCUAUGUUUUCUCUAUACGGAAGACAUUUCAUCGUAUGCUGAUGCUGUUGGCUUUAUGGUCUUCAUUGAGGAUCGGAGCUAUGCUUCAGCAGGUUGUCUAAGUGCUACUUCCAAACAUUAGUGUUUUAAUUGUGUCUGUUUUAGUUUUAUUGUAUGCCUGUUUUAAUAUAAUGUGUUGUUAAAAUUGUAAUAUAUAAAUAACUAAAUUUCUGCUUUUUUUCCAAAGCAAUACUCGUUUCUCUUCUAA
Long non-coding RNA from Glycine soja, 536 nucleotides. RefSeq lists it as uncharacterized. NCBI's taxonomy places the organism in Eukaryota, Viridiplantae, Streptophyta, Magnoliopsida, Fabales, Fabaceae. The record is from RefSeq and is a predicted model, not a curated record. The transcript is spliced from 2 exons.